GGCGGUCUUGUUCUACCACGGCGUCACGAAUUACAGAGUUUCAAUCUGAAACUCCGCACAGUAGGGAUGAUCGCGGCGAGUUUCGAGUUGGCAAAUAUUGUAGGUAGACCUGAUGGCCUACUUUGCAGGUGGACCGGGUGGCGAACAACAUGAGCAAAUUGAUCAGUGAUGUGCUGGGGGUAAGAUUAUGCUCCAAACAAAAACCCCACCCACUAAGAUAAUUGCAGAAAGAAGGAAAAAAACAAGAAAAAGCAGAAAGCAUGGCUACCCACUAAUGCACAGCAGCCCAAGCUCCAAGUUGAUUCAGGGAAUCAACUUGGCACGAUGACAGUGCAAAAGAUGCCCACCAACUUUCAUCAUGCAUGUUCCCACUCAUCACAGACGACACCAUGAUGUUAAAGAAAAAGAAAAAUGAGGAGGAAAAGAAGAAAAAGAAAAAGACAUAAUUGUGGUGAGGAUGGCACGUAAAAGAGAGAAUUAUAGGCAUGACCCAUUGAGCAGAGGGUCGGCUUUAUUUUUGAAUGAUGUAAUUUAUUUUUCUUAUCUUUCAGAGACAUCUGUAUAAACCCCAUAAGAGGGUAAUAAUAAUAAUAAUAAAUAAAUAAUAAAAAAAAACGUCAAGCCCAAAAUAAUGGGCUGGAAUGUUAUGUGAAGGGCCAAGGCCUAUAUGCCCAAAAGAGCCAAGCCCUAUGGCUCCAAAAUUAUUCGGCAGCCUGCCGCUAUUACCACCAACCAAGUGAUCAAAAGUACGCCCAGUACUCCAAAAUAAUUCGGCAGCCUGCCGCUAUUAUCACCAACUAGGUGAUCAAAAGUACGUCCAAUACUUCAAAAUUAUACAUGAGCAUUACUCAAGUCAAUCAUACAUAAACAUUCAAGAGCAUCACUCAUGUCAAUCAUACAUAAACAUUCAUGACCAUCAUUCAUGUCAACAUUCAUGAGCACCACUCAUGUCAACAUUCAUAAGCAUCACUCAUGUUAAUAUCUAUGACCAUCAUUCAUGUCAAUCAACAUAAACAUUCAUGAGCAUCACUCAUGUCAAUCAGCUUCAAAAGCUUCAUUUACAAAAGCUCUAGUUUCGAAAGCUUCAUUUACAGAGCUCUAGCUGCAAAAGCUUCAUUUACAAAGUUCUAACUUCGAAAGCUUCAUUUACAGAGCUCUAGCUUCAAAAGCUUCAUUUACAAAAGCUCUAGCUUCAAAAGCUUCAUUUACAAAGCUCUAGCUUCAAAAGCUUCAUUUACAAAAGCUCUAGAUUCGAAAGCUUCAUUUACAGAGCUCUAGCUUCGAAAACUUCAUUUACAGAGCUCUAGCUUCAAAAGCUUCAUUUACAAAGCUCCAGCUUCAAAAGCUUCACUGGCAAAGCUUCACCUAUAAAGCUUUAGUGCAGGGUAUACAAAUACCGCAUCCGAACAAUCGCCACUUUGGCCCAUACAUGGAUUCAAUUUGAAGUCUCCAGCCAACAAACUCUAUUGACCAAAGACUUGGGGGACUACAUUAUGUACCAUAUAUUGAGCCUUAAUUGGGCCUUAUAAAAAAUACUUGAGGGACUUAGCCCAUUAUUUAUGUAUUGAGGAGCAAACCCUUAUUUUAUAAAAGGGACUCCCUCACUUCCAUUAGAGAGUAUCGCCGCUAGCUGAGCAACCGCCUCGCCACGAGCGUCAACUCUAGACCAUCAUUUAUGUAUUGAGGAGCGAGCCCUUAUUUUAUAAAAGGGACUCUCUCACCUUCAUUAGAGAGCAUCGCCGCCAACUGAGCAACCGCUUCGCCGCGAGCACUAACUCUAGCCCAUCAUUUUUGUAAUAAGAAGCGAGCCUUUAUUCUAUAAAAGAGACUCCUUCACCUUCAACGCCACAAGCCGAGCCAACCAAGGCAACAUAAGCCACAAGUAGAGCAGGCUCGCAACAUGUGCUACUUCUAGUUUAGCAUCAUUUUAGAUUGGGCACCGCCUCAUAUUGAGUAUCAGUUCUAGAUGACAUUUAGUUACUUCGGCCCACAUAUGGACUGAAUUUCAAGUCUCCAGCCAAAAGACUCUUUUGACUGAAGACUUGGAGGACUACUGUUUAUACCAUACUUAGGCCAUCUCCAACCGAUGGCUGG
Molecule: long non-coding RNA, 2094 nt
Filed under: Malus domestica (apple)
Lineage: Eukaryota; Viridiplantae; Streptophyta; Magnoliopsida; Rosales; Rosaceae
Description: long non-coding RNA (MDOM_LNC015823)
Source: RNAcentral